This 87-nucleotide transfer RNA is filed under the name Candidatus Giovannonibacteria bacterium RIFCSPHIGHO2_01_FULL_45_33. RNAcentral's name for it is "tRNA-Ser". It matches the Rfam family "tRNA". Rfam says of the family: Transfer RNA (tRNA) molecules are approximately 80 nucleotides in length. Their secondary structure includes four short double-helical elements and three loops (D, anti-codon, and T loops). RNAcentral also lists the same sequence under 1 other name. Lineage: Bacteria; Candidatus Giovannoniibacteriota. The record is from RNAcentral.
GGAAGCGUGGCUGAGUGGUUGAAGGCACCAGUCUUGAAAACUGGCAUGCGGGCAACCGCAUCGGAGGUUCGAAUCCUCCCGCUUCCG